GCGGUGGAGCAUGUGGUUAAUUCGAAGCAACGCGAAGACUUACCAGGUCUUGACAUCCCCUCGACAACCCAAGAGAUUGGGCGUUCCCCUUCGGGGAGCUUGCACAGGUGCUGCAUGGCUGUCGUCAGCUCGUGUCGUGAGAUGUUCGGUAAGUCCGCUAACGAGCGCAACCCUCACUGUGUGUUAUAUGUGUCACACGGGACUGCCGGUUUUAAGCCGGAGGAAGGUGGGGAUGACGUCAAGUCAGCAUGGCCUUUAUAUCCUGGGCUACACACACGCUACAAUGGUCGGUACAAUAGGUUGCCAAGCCGCGAGGCGGAGCCAAUCCACAAAGCCGGCCUCAGUUCAGAUUGUAGGCUGCAACUCGCCUGCAUGAAGAUGGAGUUGCUAGUAACCGCAGGUCAGCAAUACUGCGGUGAAUACGUUCCCGGGUCUU
Molecule: ribosomal RNA, 436 nt
Filed under: uncultured Anaerolineaceae bacterium
Lineage: Bacteria; Bacillati; Chloroflexota; Anaerolineae; Anaerolineales; Anaerolineaceae
Description: bacterial SSU rRNA
Rfam family: Bacterial small subunit ribosomal RNA
Source: RNAcentral